This is a long non-coding RNA of Coregonus clupeaformis (lake whitefish), 521 nucleotides long. RefSeq lists it as uncharacterized. Lineage: Eukaryota; Metazoa; Chordata; Actinopteri; Salmoniformes; Salmonidae. The transcript has 3 exons. The record is from RefSeq and is a predicted model, not a curated record.
CAACCGAAGUGGACGUAUUUCAAGCGAAUCAGCUAAUUGGGCAGAUUUGUUGGCACUCAAGACCGUUUUGCGUGGCUGCUUGUUAUGCUGUGUUUCAAACUUUCAAUGAGUCUUCGUCAUGGUCUUGGUUAGCAGAGAUGACGGCUGCUGUGGUGUAGGCCUAUGGGUGUCUUUCUAUCAACUUCCAGCAACACCAGAUAUGCGAGCCAAGCUUCUAAAAAUCACAUCAGGAGAUCCAUUCCACUGGAAUUCCUAAAAUCACUGCAGUAAGUACAACUCCAGUCAGUCAGUAAACGGUGACAAACAAACAAGGGGAACAUCCUAAUAGUCUAAUUGGCUACGCGUCCUUGUCCUUCUCUUAAUCAGGAUAGUGUCGACAGCUAAAUGCUAAAUAUGUACAUGCAAUCUGCACUAAUAACUGGACAAGUAAAAGCAUCAUCUAAGAAAACAUUCAGUGUAGAUGGAGUCAGUCUACUGUACUUAUUUAUGCUAACAAUAUCUUGAAUAUGACUUUGUUUACU